ACCUACGUACAUAUAUAUACCAUUGGAAUGUGAAGUAUAGGUGAUUUUUUUUUAAAUAAUAAAAAUUAAGAGAUAGAUUUAUUUUUGGGAUUGAUAUAAAUAAAUAUAGAUUUAUGGAUUGGAGUGGAAAAUUCUUUAGCUUGACCCAUCUUGUAAUAUACAAUAAAUGGGACUCUGUGCGUACUUUUAGUUCUUGAGAUAAUGCGAGAUUUUAAACUUUGUGAUUGUUACAGAAACUGUGCACUUUUGAUAUCUAAGUUUUUUUUUUUUUUUUGAAAACCAAAACGAUCUCAAAUAUUAAGGAAGGUCCGCCGACAGCAAAUCACAGAGCCAUCGAGGAAAAUCAGUAAUCCAACAGAUAGGUUGCUGAUAAGAACGCGCAAAAUGCGCGAGACUAUGAGCUACAGUAUUCGCCUCCCUAUACAUGUGAUUAACACUAAUUUUUUUUUAAUUACUUUAGAUAAUAAGAGUUCUUGAAAAAAUAAAACCCUAAUUGGAUCACAAAACACGCAUGAGAUAAUAACCAACCAAUGUCAUCACUUCGGUGAUAAUAUACCUAUGUUUGGGAGACAUUUUCGAAGGAAUUUAUUUAUUUAUUUUUAAUUAGGGGAGUUGGGGAGGGGGAGCCGUGAGGUUUGAACCCGGGACCUCACUGUUUACACACAGGAGGUCGCACCGCUUGGUGUCCCCUUGGAGUUUGAAGGGAAUUUUUUCUCUAAUGGAAGUUAAGUAACAAAGGACUUACAAAAGAAUAGACUCUUCCUACUUAAGCAACUUCCAGAAACUUCACACACAGUGAAAACUAGUAAUGUAUGCACUACACAUUACUUACACUUACCAUCCAAUCCCAAUUGUACUGAAUCGAGAAAACUCUCAAAGUUCCAAACAACACAGAUUACAACUUAAUCAUGCGAGCACAUAAGAGAACAAUCUAUCUUUCACAAGCACAAGCCGCUUAUGAGAAAACAAUAAAAACUGCAAACCUUCACUUGAGUCUUCAACAACAUAUAUAAAUAUAUAUAUAUAAUGGUGGGGAGAAAAUCUAGAUAUGUUACCAUCUUGCAUCGAGUGAAUAUUUUCUUAUGAAGAAUAUUUCUAACAAUCAGGUACCACGAAAGGUAAGAAUAUUUGAUCAAACAACAUGCAUAUGCCAAAAUUCUUACAAGAAUCUUGGGUAAGAUCUUUACCAUAUAUCAUAACUUUGAAUAGGGAAAGUUUUCAUACUCUGCCAACGAAAACAAACGAAACAUUUGCACUGUCACUCGGAUUACGAAGAGACAUUCUCAAAAUGCAUGUGUCUAUGUAAUGCAAAAUCAUGUAUGUCAAUACACACUCACAGUUCUAACUUCUAAUUAAGGUAAAACAAUGGGGAAUCAUGAAUUCCAAAUUAAAAUUUGCAAAUACGAUUAAUCUCCAUAACAUUCUGUUGUCACUAUAAAUCCGCAUUGACUAGGCCAACAAUUUAAUUCAUUAAAUAUUAUAUUACCAUCCACAAUCUUACAUGCUGCAUUUGUAAUCUAUAUAUAUUCCCCUUAUAUUAUAUAAGUUGACCUUCUAUCGUUGUGUAAUCAAAUAUAUACAAUCAUACACUUGUAAAAGAAUAAUGUAAAUACCAAAUAAUCUUAUUUUUUUUCAAGCUAACUCAAUUAAUUGGCAUGAUCGCGAAUUUAGUUGAUUACCGUCGAAAUCAAACUUCACUAAAUUAAAGGCGAGUCAAACGAAUUUUUAUGAAGCUGAGAUCUAAGUAGUUCAACUCAUUUACAGUCUCAAUCAUUUUUAUUCUCUCUGUCCCGUUUUAUCUUUUUUAAGAGCGUGUUUGAUAUUGAUUAAUACACUAUAUUAGCUAAUUUAGUACAUAUCAGUCUAGUGUUUGAUAUUAUUUAGUAAUAAUGCGGAUGACCCGGUUUAAUCCCACGACCCAAUAUUAUUAAUCCAAUUUUUUUAGGAUUAAUAAUACACCUCCCCUAGGAUUAACUUAAACCAUGAUAUUCUGUAUUUAACCAUGAUAGCAAACACCAACUCAGUAUUAAUAAUCUGUCAUAUCCACACUAAAUAUCCUGGUUACAAAUUAUCCUACAUAAUCCUUUACUGAAAACCAAACGAGCCCUAAAAUUACAAUAGAUAUCUGAAUAUAAUUAAUUAUGUAAGCCACACGUAAGCGGGACCUCGCCACUGCAUACAUGCGGGAUUGAACCCAAGACCUCUCACAAAAGAGAGUCUUUGGGUGCCUCAACUUUGCCACUAGAACAAAGCCUCAUUGGCUCUGUCCCGUUUUAUUUGGCCUAAUUAUUUUCGACAUGUUUAUUUAGGAACUAGUUUUUAUUGUGUAUAAAGUGUUAUGACCCAUUUAUUUGUGUAAAUUAGCCAAAAAUAGACUCGGCCAAGUCAGUUGGAUCAGCCGAAAAGAAACGCAGGUCUAGUGAAGUGGGACUGAGGAAGUAUAAUUUUUGAAAAGCUUCAUAAUCUAUAUAAUAUAUAAAAGGGGAGUUUUUUUUUCUCCAUUUUUUCCCUCUUUUUUUCUCUCUCUUCUCCUAUCAUUUUUUUCACUACUUUUUUCUAUCUCUCUUUCUUACAAUUUUAAAUUUUUAUCUAGACAUCGUCAAAUUUAAUUUAUUAAGAAAUAUCCAAUGUGCAUCUUAGAUUUAUGUUCGUGAUAAGAUAUUUAAUAUAAUAUAAAAUUAUCAAAAAUAAAUUUUAAACUAAUAAGUUAAGAAAAAAAUUAAAUAAUUUUCUUUUAUCUCUCUUUGUAAAAUUUUACAACUUUUUAUUUAUGUUUGUGUAUGAAAGUAUUUACUAUAUUUAUUUAUUAUUACGUGUAAUACUCUUAAUAAUGUAUAAUGUUUACAGAGUUGAAAAUUUACGUUUUUAAAUUUGGAAUUUUAUUGAGUAAUUUAUGUGGAUUAUUUUAUUUUAUUUUUAAAAUAUAUUUUGCAUUUAUUUAUAUUUUAAUUCGAUUUAAUAUCAAUAUUUAUUUAUUUAAAUAUAUAUUUUAAUUUUGGUGUUCGUUGUGCAUUGCACGAAUGAGCAUACUAGUGGGAUACUAAAUGCCUUUUUUUUUUUUUUUUUUCAGUACUAUAAGGGCUAGUUUGAUAAGGGUUACUAGCAUUGCUAACUAGUAUUUCUAUAGAUAUAUGUGUAUUUGAUAGUAUUGACUAUUUAUUCCAUUGGCCCGCAUAAAUGCAAGGGCCCGCAUGACUUUCACUAUUCCACUUAGAAAGUGGGUCUACCCUUCCCCUUGAGUUAUUUAGUAUUGUUUUCUACAGUACCAGCUACUAAUUUAUAUUUGACUAAUUUAUCCCCACACCAACCACCACAUUCCCGAUUCACUUCAGAAAAUAAAAUUGGGGGGACCGAAAUUCAAACAAAAAAAAUCAAGAGCUCAAGAAGAAAAAUCCCGCUCCAGUACAUAGAUUGUCUUCUUCAAAUAGUGGGGAAAUAUCUAUUUCUUCUAGAGGGAAAUCAACUGCUCGCCGGUAAGUCCAACGAAAAAGUAUGGGUUAUUUUUGUUAAAUUUUUUCUAAUCCACGCAUGUCUCUGUUGGCUUGAGGGUUUCUCAUGUAUAGAAUUUUUGAUUCAAUGUUGUUUGGUUUCGAACUCUGGGAUGCCGUUGGUAGCUAGGUUUUAGAUGGUUGUUUGUGUUCAAUUGUUGUUUGAUUUCGAAAUCAUGGAUAAAUGUAUUCUUUUUGUCGAAUUUUGUUGUUUGAUUUUGACUGAUAUGUGUGUUUUGAUUCUGGUUCGGUGUUGUGUAUACAUAUAUUCAUUUGGAUAUCAGUUCGUUUAUGGUUGCUGCUGUUAUUUUUUUUCUAAAAUUUGCUGCUAUUGGUUCUAUGUUUCAGAUGUUAGGAUACUUGUUGUUGAUGAAAUUAUGUGAACCGAGUUUAGUAAUCUGAAAAGUUGUGAUUCCUACCAGAUUGAGUUCAUAUUGCUGUUACGAUGAGCGCCUGAAUUUUAACUCCAUUAUAUUUAUUUCAGUUUAGAUGUGGUUUACAUGAAAGUGCUCAUGUGGUGUGUGUUGUUUCUGAAAUGCAGCCUUGUAGUUAUAGCUUGAAAUCACCAUGCCAUCUGACGAGAGUGAUAUUAUUUGCGUGUAUUUGUUGAUGGAAGAGUUGUUCCAUCAACAGUUAAAUCUAAUAUUGAUAGCCUAUUACAUUAUGCUUAAGAUGAGAACACGUAAACGUAAGAGAUUGGUUAGAGCUGCCACCUUUGGGUAUAUUGAAAGGAUGCCCGAACAAGAGAAUCAUAUGAACAGGCUAGUAGGAGUGACUGAUGUAGAUUGCAUUGCAAACUUAAGAAUGGAUAGGAACACAUUUGGUAGGUUGUGCCUUUUGUUACGUGAUCUAGGCGGGUUGACUGAUGGGCGGUACGUUAGUGUAGAGGAGCAAGUGGGAAUCUUUUUAUCAGUCUUGGCACACCACAAGAAGAAUCGGGUUGUUAGGUUUGAUUUCUGGAGGUCUGGGCAAACCGUUUCACGAUUUGUCCAUGUCGUUUUAAAGUCAAUAUUAAAACUCCAUGUCAUUCUACUUGUAAAACCUGUACCCGUACCGGAAGAAUGUACAAAUGGCAGGUGGCGGUGGUUCAAGGUAAUCCACUAACCAUUUCUAUUAUUGCACACAUCUAUUGAGCAUUUAAUGAUUAUUUGAAACUGAAUUCAGCAUCCUACAGCUCUUAUCCAAUUACUUAUAUGGUACUUAUGUUGAUAGGGAUGCUUGGGUGCUCUUGAUGGUACAUACAUAAAUGUUAUGGUACCCAAUGACGAUAAACCGAGGUACCGGACAAGGAAGGGCCAGAUUUCAACAAACACUUUGGCUGUAUGCGAUCGCUCAUCAAGGUUUGUCUACGUGUUACCUGGAUGGGAGGGGUCAGCGGCUGACUCACGGAUAUUGCGGAAUGCUCUUGUGCGUGAAAACGGCUUGAAGGUCCCUAAAGGUAUUCUUGCACCGUGAACAAGGAUCUCAUGAAUUUCAUACAAGUUUCUCUACAACAAGUCUAACUGAUUGGUGUUUGAAAUCGCAGGCAACUAUUACCUAUGCGACAAUGGCUAUGCAAAUAGUGAAGGAUUCCUUACGCCGUACAAAGGGAUACGAUAUCAUUUGAAGGAGUGGGGGCCGAAUAAUGCACGACCUCGGAACGCGAAGGAAUUAUUCAACCUUAGGCAUGCGAAAGCGCGGAAUGUGAUCGAGCGUGCAUUCGGUAUUCUAAAAAUGCGCUGGGGUAUAUUACGAAGUGCAUCUUUUUACCCUGUAAAGACACAGAAUCGCUUAAUAAUGGCUUGCUUUAUCCUCAACAACUUCAUCCGCAAUGAGAUGCCAGUGGACCCUAUCGAGCAGCAAUACGAUAAUGCAGCUGCAAAUGAAGAUGACGACCUCGAUAAUGAUACUGAAUUUAUUGGUGCUAUUGAGUCUUCGCCACAGUGGAACGCCGAGAGAGAUGCUAUAUCUAACUCGAUGUGGCACCAGUAUAUAAAUCAUUAUUGAGUUGAUUUAGUGAUGAGUCAAUUAGUUGGAACCUUGUUAGUACUUUCCUUGUAGUUGGUGAUUGCUCUCACAGCUGUCAUAAGAAUGAUUGGCAUAUGUUUUGGCUCGAGAGCACAUUAUGUCUGUAAUUGCUAUUUUUAUUUUAUUUGAGACUCUUAUGAAUGCAUAACUUAAGUAGAAGUAUUUUUUUUGUUUCACUAAUAGCUAAUGUAGUUCUGUUGUCUCCGAAUAUGAAAUUGGUAGAGUACUCAUUGUACCAAAUUAAUGCACCUGACUUUUCUUGUUGUUUCUUCCUUCUAAUGGCUGCGCAUUUUGCUAAGAUUGAAUUGAAAGCUGCGGUCAUUUCAUAUUAAACAUAUCUAACAGCUACCAUCAACAACCCAUUUCUUCCAUUAGUUGUGAAAUCCAAAGCCAAUUAAUGAACUCAUUAGUUAUAUUAUAUUUUUGUGGCUUACAAUUCAUGAAGCAACCUUUUAUAAAUGAGCUACCUAUGUGAAGAAGUUUCACCACCAAACUCUCGUAACUGUUAAAAUAGCAAGCUCAUCUGUUCCACAAGCAGAAGACAUCCCAGCAUGAACUACGAUGGCCCGAAGCAGGAGUGGUUCCUCUACAAAGGCCCAUGGAACGAGGCACUAGAUAGUUAUCUUUGCCGUCGUUUGUUCGAACGUGAGGAAGAAUGCAAGCCGACUCUGCCCGUCGAUUCACCUCAUGCAAUGAUUUGUGCUAUGGAAGCACUAAAUAAGGAACUCAAUGCUGGUGUCAUUUACGACGACGUACUUCAGCGGGUUGAGUUUCUUCGAAAACGCUACUUAUGCUUCAAGAAACUGGCUGCUAAUGUGAAUACGAACUGGGAAGCUUCCAACAACUGUAUCACGGCGAACGACAGCGUGUGGAAGGAAAUCUUCGAGGUAUAAGAAUUUAGUUCUCAUUACUAAAGUAAUAAAUGAUAUGCAUUCGUAGUGCUUCAUCAUCUAACAUUUUAAAUCUCUUGCGAUUCAACUUGUUUGAUUUCGACAGGAGGAUGAUUUCGCAAAAGCUUACUACACCAAAGGUGAUCCUAUUUGGCGCAACCUUUGCCGUCUUUUUGGGUACAAUAGCGUCAAGCAAGAGGCGGCGUCCCCGACUGUGAUACUCAUCUCCGAUUCUCCCCAUGCAAUGCCCGCUCGUGAGCGUGCACCAUAUAUAUCUAUUUCCGAAGACGAGGUGACAUCCCCCGUGAUGAAGCAACCAACAUCCCGUAAGUUAUCCUUUAAUGAUGAUGAGUCAUCGAGCAUCGGUAAGGUUAAGGAACACGAGGACAGCUCUUGUGCCUCGUCGAGUCCACACCAGUGAACUCGCGUUCGACCUGGUAUAAAAAUGGUGGCCUCUUUUUGUUUGUUCUUUUUGGGUUGAAGAUGAUAUUAUGUGAAAAUGGCGGUUGAUAGGGGUUUUUUUUGUUUGUGUAGAAAUGUUUAAUCAUGUGUAUUUAGUACAACCCCUCCCCCAAUUAGCUUUUGUGGGUGUUUGUGACAUUAUGUACUCACCUAUUAUCAAGUGAAAUUAAGUAUGCUUAUGUGUGUUUUAUUUUCAGAUACCUAGUUGGUAUUCAAGCUUAAUUUGUUAACUUUGGGGAUUUUUCUACAAUCAUAUUUAUAUUUUUCGAUCACCCAAAUUUGAACCAAAAAAGAAUACAAAUGAAUGCUAUUCAUUUCAAGAGACCAAUGUAAGUAACAGGGAUAGAUCAACAAAUACAUUUUAUAUAAGUAGAACAGAAGGAAUGCUAUUCAUAAGCCACACAAUCAAACUAAAGUCAAACAUCAAACUAUUUACAUAGUGAGAACAAAUCUCAUUUUUUCAGAGACUAUCACAAGCCACAAGCUAAUAUUUUCCAAAAUAACACAUCUCUUUUGUCCCACUCAAGAGAAUCACAUAACAAUGGCAACACUUUUUCUAAGAGAGAUUGCUCAAGUUCAAAAACCCAUUGAGUUCUCCAUAUGCAAACCAAAAUAGAUUACUAUAGACGGUUUAAAUUGUCCUACUGUCGCUUGGUGUCGAGUAGAUAUGCGACAUACUGUGGCUUUGCAUCAUCCGGAAGGCCCAUAAAGAGUUCGAGUCACUGCGUUUCACCAGCUAGUAUCUCGUAGGCGUAGAACUUUUCUUUGGUAUCUAAGUUAGGCAUGCCGUUGAGUUGAUCGUACACUUCCUUUCUUGCUUUAGCUAAAUCAAAUUUGUAACCUAUUCGUGAUGCAAUACUGUCCAUCUGCAUUUUGGAAUCGUGCCCCAUCUCUCCCAAAAACUCGAACAGCCUUUCAAAUCCAUCGCUAACCUUACGUUUCUUGCUUGUAGACCUAGCUGCGACCCCAGACUUUUCACUUUGGCAUGCACUGUCAGCUACUCCUUCUUGUUCAGCUUCAUCUUGAACGUGUACAUAAUAGUCACCAUGCAAUUUGUCGUUCGCUUGGUUACGUCCGUCAUGCAUCUCAUUGAUUGCGUCCAUGACAUCUUCUGCCUCUUUGCCACUUGCUCGGUCCUUGCCAAAUAUCUCUUUCCAAUCCUCCCAAUAUGGCCAGCUCUUGGAACGCAUUAGACGUGCAUUCGAGUCUUCCUACAUAGAAAACAACAUGUAUAUUGACCCCAUCAAAAAUCAAUCAAGCAAACAAGUAAAACAUACUCAAUAAAGCGUAUAGAAAAUUAAAACAUACCUGUAGAAUUUGCUCCCAUAGCACGUUAUCGCAAUCAAUCAUAUACUUCCCGUCAACAUUGAAUCCAACACCGGUCUUCUCUAGUAUAAAUGAUAAAGAAGAAUAAUUCCUCUUCCAUGUGCUUAGUUUCGAAUGUACAUGUGGCAUUCCCUUAAGAUCAGUCCCUGGAAAGAAGCUCUUAAGAGCUUCUUCAAGCUUACCUAGAUACCCAGCGCGGAAUCCAUUAUCUGAUUUAAAACCUUAAACGACAAGUUCCUUCAAGGAUGCUAACAACACCUCCUCCUCCCGAAUGGUCCAACUACGUCUGCUCUUGUCACCUUUUGAAGCUUUCUCACGACCGAUCUCAUUGCUCACCGAAUCUACAAUCGCAAAUGAAUACACGAAGAACCAUUCAGUACAUAUAUAUGUCCGAAUUCUACAAAUAAUUAUACAAUCCAAUAUAUUAUAUCACCUGGAAGUAAUGGCGCAAUAUAGGUCACCACUCAUGCAACACAAUCUCAGAAAAAUUUCAAAUUUAUGCAGUAUAUAGGUUGAAUCGUUGUGUGCAGUUAACCACUCACGAAAAUAAUGCACAUUAGACAAUCGAGGACAUUUCUGAUUUUUCCAAGCGAAAAUAACGAAAUCUACACACCUAGAUAGAACACGAGCAUUUAGAAAUUGAAGCGACCACUUUUUUACUCAUGAAAUUUCAAUCGAAAUGUGUAUCUAGCAUUGAUAUUGCAAUAUCGAAUUUCAAAAUUUUACACCAACAAAUCAAAAAAUCUAUGAAUAUCUCGAUGACUUACUUCCUUCAACUCUGGACAUGGCGUCAGACAACCGCGUCGUCUUGCGAUAAACAAAGAUUCGCCGGCCGCCGGCGGUAUUCGCCCUCGAUGGAGUAGUUGCUCUUCUCUUCGACUAUUGAACUGCAACCGGUGGAAUUUGGCUGAAAGAUUUUUCGCGGGUUAUAAAUUGGAGGCGCAAGAAUCUAGAUACAUUUGCUCUCCCGCUCUAAAUAAUUGAGGGACAAUUCGGUCAAUAGAUCAAUUAUUUGAGGGCAUUAUAGGACUGUUGAUUUUAAUCAUUAUAUUACUAAACCCUAUCAAACAUAAUUUAAAAAUUACUUGGAAAUAUAUCUACCGCAUGUAAAAAGCUAUCAAACCAUAUAUUUACUAAUUUAUUAGAAAUGCAGCAUUUCUAUAGUUCACUAUCAAACAGGGCCUAAGUGAAAAUAAUGNUGUUUGUCGAUCUGGGACUAACGGUUGUUACAAUUGUGGCCAAAAGGGUCACUACUCCACGCAAUGCCCCAACAGACAACGAGGUUCAGCAAUUGAGAACACCCACACCCCCUUGCCAGCAAUACGUGAACACUUGCGAAAUCAAUCUCAAUCACAUCAGUGAAAAUCUUAUGGAGAUACCGCAGACAAGAGAAGCUACGUGGGAACUUGAAGACAAGAUGAAGGAAAAAUACCCCGAACUGUUUAGCAGAGAUAUGCAAAUUUCGGGACGAAAUUUUUGUUAAGAGGGGUAGUAUGUAAUGACCCGCAUUUUUAUUUUUAUUUAAUAUGGUAUCGCGAUAAUUAAUAUAGCAUCUUUCAGUAAAUGAAACCCAGUUACCAGUUAUAUAUGAAUUCAGUUUAUGAUCCUGAUUUUUUUUUAUCAGAGAUGGAGUAUUAUUUUAGCCGUAUGCUUUUGUAUGCAUGAGAAAAACGCGACGAGGAUUAUUGAACUAUUCAAUAAUUAUUAUUUUUAAUUGACUUAGCGAAGUCAAGUUAUUUAUUAAUCGAGAAACGGAAGCAGUUAUAUUUUAUUAGUGCUACUAGAAGUCGAGGAUUUAUUCCGACAGCAAAGCAGAUUAAAUCUACGGAUUUAAUUUAAGUUAUAUUAUAGUUUAUCAAGUUAGCAGGCAAGGAAAAAGAUAUCAAACAGAUACAAUAACGGAUGAUAGAGAAUAAAAGCCAGUAUUUUAUUACAGUUCACGAAUACAGUCUACUUCCCAGCUUGGGGAAAAUUGUAUAGUAUUUUACAAGGUUGAAUUUACCACCAUUUGCUUCCCCACCACUACACCUACUCUUCCACUCCACCAACUUCUCCACUACAUUUUUC
RNAcentral lists this long non-coding RNA (10240 nucleotides) under Salvia miltiorrhiza (redroot sage). Its description in RNAcentral is "long non-coding RNA (SMIL_LNC001031)". Lineage: Eukaryota; Viridiplantae; Streptophyta; Magnoliopsida; Lamiales; Lamiaceae. The record is from RNAcentral.